GAAUGACUCUCGGCAACGGAUAUCUCGGCUCUCGCAUCGAUGAAGAACGUAGCGAAAUGCGAUACUUGGUGUGAAUUGCAGAAUCCCGUGAACCAUCGAGUCUUUGAACGCAAGUUGCGCCCGAAGCCGUUAGGCUGAGGGCACGUYUGCCUGGGCGUCGUAU
RNAcentral lists this ribosomal RNA (163 nucleotides) under Nymphoides minima. RNAcentral's name for it is "5.8S ribosomal RNA". It matches the Rfam family "5.8S ribosomal RNA". Rfam says of the family: 5.8S ribosomal RNA (5.8S rRNA) is a component of the large subunit of the eukaryotic ribosome. Lineage: Eukaryota; Viridiplantae; Streptophyta; Magnoliopsida; Asterales; Menyanthaceae. The record is from RNAcentral.